This 497-nucleotide ribosomal RNA is filed under the name uncultured bacterium. RNAcentral's name for it is "partial 16S ribosomal RNA". It matches the Rfam family "Bacterial small subunit ribosomal RNA", at positions 28 to 507 of the family's 1533-position model. The record is from RNAcentral.
GAUGAACGCUGGCGGCGUGCCUAAUACAUGCAAGUCGAGCGAACGGACGAGAAGCUUGCUUUUCUGGUGUUAGCGGCGGACGGGUGAGUAACACGUGGAUAACCUACCUAUAAGACUGGGAUAACUUCGGGAAACCGGAGCUAAUACCGGAUAAUAUUUUGAACCGCAUGGUUCAAAAGUGAAAGACGGUCUUGCUGUCACUUAUAGAUGGAUCCGCGCUGCAUUAGCUAGUUGGUAAGGUAACGGCUUACCAAGGCAACGAUGCAUAGCCGACCUGAGAGGGUGAUCGGCCACACUGGAACUGAGACACGGUCCAGACUCCUACGGGAGGCAGCAGUAGGGAAUCUUCCGCAAUGGGCGAAAGCCUGACGGAGCAACGCCGCGUGAGUGAUGAAGGUCUUCGGAUCGUAAAACUCUGUCAUUAGGGAAGAACAUAUGUGUAAGUAACUGUGCACAUCUUGACGGUACCUAAUCAGAAAGCCACGGCUAACUACGUG